UAGAGCGCGCGCUUGAUAAGCGUGAGGUCGGAAGUUCAAGUCUUCCCAGGCCCACCAUUUUGAUCGAGUGCGGAGCAUUCGUCUUCUGGUACGGGGCCAUAGCUCAGCUGGGAGAGCGCGUGCUUUGCAAGCAUGAGGUCGUCGGUUCGAUCCCGUCUGGCUCCACCAGAUGGUUUGAUCACCAACGGCGUUACCGUCGUCCGCGAAACAUCACUUCGCACUCAUUGGUCCGGAUGGACGGUGACGUGCGUGUUUUCUGACAUCGUAAAGAGGAGAUCGAUCCGAGUUUGGAUCAAGCGAAGCAAUUCGCCUGAACCAUUCAUUAUCUCCGGGAUCAUUUCGGCGCUCGCGCAUCGCAGUUCAUCGCAAGAUGAGUGGGGUGAGCGGGUUGUAAAUGAUCUCUUUUAGCGAAGCUUGACCGCCUCGCUAUCGGGCCGAUCUUACGAAGCAAGCUGGUCUUUCUAGUCAAUGUCCGGCUGCGCAAUCGCAUUCAUCGAGGAUGCGUGCCUGGGACUUCGGUCUUCGGGCAGUUGCGCAGACAACAUUCUGCCGAGUGUGUGGACAUUGAUAAUGAGAGCAAUCAAGUGCCUUAAGGGUGUUCGGUGGAUGCCUUGGCGCUGAGAGGCGAUGAAGGACGUGCUACGCUGCGAUAAGCCGUGGGGAGCUGCGAAGAAGCUUUGAUCCGCGGAUUUCCGAAU
This 698-nucleotide unclassified non-coding RNA is filed under the name Bradyrhizobium sp. STM 3062. Its description in RNAcentral is "partial 16S-23S ribosomal RNA intergenic spacer". The stretch from base 579 to 698 matches the Rfam family "Bacterial large subunit ribosomal RNA", at positions 1 to 119 of the family's 2925-position model. The record is from RNAcentral. Lineage: Bacteria; Pseudomonadati; Pseudomonadota; Alphaproteobacteria; Hyphomicrobiales; Nitrobacteraceae.